This 689-nucleotide ribosomal RNA is filed under the name uncultured bacterium. Its description in RNAcentral is "bacterial SSU rRNA". It matches the Rfam family "Bacterial small subunit ribosomal RNA", at positions 12 to 693 of the family's 1533-position model. The record is from RNAcentral.
UUUGAUCAUGGCUCAGAACGAACGCUGGCGGCGCGCCUAAUACAUGCAAGUCGAACGAGAAUGUGUAGCAAUACACAUGUACAGUGGCGAACGGGUGAGGACUACAUGGGUAACCUACCCUCGAGUGGGGAAUAACUAGCCGAAAGGUUAGCUAAUACCGCGUACGCUUCCAAGACUGCGGUUUUGGAAGGAAAGCGAUACCGUGGGUAUCGCGCUCUUGGAUGGGCUCAUGCCCUAUCAGCUUGUUGGUGAGGUAACGGCUCACCAAGGCUUCGACGGGUAGCUGAUCUGAGAGGAUGAUCAGCCACACUGGCACUGCGACACGGGCCAGACUCCUACGGGAGGCAGCAGUAAGGAAUAUUGCGCAAUGGGCGAAAGCCUGACGCAGCGACGCCGCGUGGGGGAUGAAGGUCUUCGGAUUGUAAACCCCUUUCGGGAGGGAAGAUGGGAUGGGGUAACCCAUUCGGACGGUACCUCCAGGAGCAGCCACGGCUAACUUCGUGCCAGCAGCCGCGGUAAUACGAAGGUGGCAAGCGUUGUUCGGAUUUACUGGGCGUACAGGGAGCGUAGGCGGUUGGAUAAGCCCUCCGUGAAAUCUCCAGGCUUAACCUGGAAAGUGCAGAGGGGACUGUUCAGCUAGAGGAUGGGAGAGGAGCGCGGAAUUCCCGGUGUAGCGGUGAAAUGCUUAG